CCCUGUCUCCAGUGGGCGUCUUGGGCCCCGGCUCUAUUCUGGGCUGCGGGCCUGGGAAGGGCUCGCCGGGUGCCAAAUGAGCUGUCCUAACUCUGCGGGGCUGCAGCUUCCUGCAUGAUGCUGGGGAGCUUGGCGCCUGACCCAGGAUCUAGAAGGCACUCUGGGCAGGCCGCGCUCCGCCCACGAAGGUACCCAACCCUCUGGGAUAGAUGCAGGAAGCGAUGGUUAAGACCCAUUUUCACCCAACUUCUCGCCGCAGGUCUGGCUUACCACACGCUCCUCCCCAUUCCCAGUGAGCCGCUUUUUGCAGCACCAGGCGAACACUUACACCAGUGCUUUGUAAAGGAAUCUUAUUGUCCACCCCGUGUCUUGGCAAAAGAACAGUGAUCACACAGAUUCCUACUUGGGCUCUUUCCUUUAAUCUUCGGAGGCUGAGUUUGCCCAACUCAGGUUUAACCACCAAGGACUCUGAGAGCUGGCAGGUCUGAGUAACCCUGGUAACAAUUCUCUUCACCUUAUCAAAACCUGAGCUAAAACCAAUGCAUCAGCUGAUGAUGACAGCAGAGAGUGGCAGGGCUGAGGACCCAAAGUCAUUUCCCAGGCUGGCGGAGAAUAAACUGCCAGGGAGAAGAAUGAGAAGACAGGAGACAAACUGUUUGGAAAGCUAAAUCUUCCCUCUUAAUGAAUAAAGGUUUUUGCCUUGUCUUAAAAAAAAAAAAAAAAAAAAAAAAAAAAAAAAAAAAAAAAAAAA
RNAcentral lists this long non-coding RNA (751 nucleotides) under Homo sapiens (human). RNAcentral describes it as "TP53 target 1 (TP53TG1)". Lineage: Eukaryota; Metazoa; Chordata; Mammalia; Primates; Hominidae. The record is from RNAcentral.